Molecule: transfer RNA, 73 nt
Filed under: Phycisphaeraceae bacterium
Lineage: Bacteria; Pseudomonadati; Planctomycetota; Phycisphaerae; Phycisphaerales; Phycisphaeraceae
Description: tRNA-Ile
Rfam family: tRNA
About the family: Transfer RNA (tRNA) molecules are approximately 80 nucleotides in length. Their secondary structure includes four short double-helical elements and three loops (D, anti-codon, and T loops).
Source: RNAcentral
GGCCCCGUAGCUCAGCGGUUAGAGCCGGGGACUCAUAAUCCCUUGGUCGCAGGUUCGAGUCCUGCCGGGGCCA